Molecule: transfer RNA, 65 nt
Filed under: Yezoterpnosia vacua
Lineage: Eukaryota; Metazoa; Arthropoda; Insecta; Hemiptera; Cicadidae
Description: tRNA-Asn
Source: RNAcentral
UUAAUUGAAGCCAAAUUUUAGGCACUUUUUUGUUAAUAAAGUUAAUGAAUUUUUUUCCAAUUAAA